Molecule: ribosomal RNA, 582 nt
Filed under: Triticum aestivum (bread wheat)
Lineage: Eukaryota; Viridiplantae; Streptophyta; Magnoliopsida; Poales; Poaceae
Description: partial small subunit ribosomal RNA
Source: RNAcentral
AUGUCGACCUGUCUUCGUCAGCGCUAUGAGCCCUCUGGUGAUGCCUUAUACCUUUCUGUGGUUCAUCAGGAGCAUGCUCUUCAGCAGGGUGACUCUACUGUUGAUGACUUUUAUGCACAGUUUGCUAUCUGGCGCCUGCUUGAUUCUCUCCGCAGUGCUGGUUGUCGUACUUGCCCCUGCUGCCAAGCUGUCCAGGCCAAUUUGGAGUUUCAUCGCGUCUACGAGUUCCUGUCUCGGCUCCGUAAGGAGUUUGAGCCCCGGCGUGCUCAGUUGUUUGCUCGUGGCCGUAUUUCUCUCAUGGAGGCGCUUUCAGAGAUUCGUGCUGAGGAGACUCGCUUACGUGGUGCUGGUUUGCUGGAGGUUCCCUCUGUGCUCGCUACUCGGGCUUCUUCCACUCCACCUGCUGCACCGACCCAUUCUCGCUCGAGUGCUCCGCCGCUCUUGCCCACUCCUUCUGGAGGCUCAGGUCGCCCCCGUCCACAUUGUGACUACUGCAACAAUGAUGGUCAUAUUGAGUCCCAGUGCUACACAAAGCGAAAACACCUGCGCAAGGCGCGAUCAUCCUCUUCAGGGACUUCGUCA